GGGUUGUGAGGUUAAGCGACUAAGCGUACACGGUGGAUGCCCUGGCAGUCAGAGGCGAUGAAGGACGUGCUAAUCUGCGAUAAGCGUCGGUAAGGUGAUAUGAACCGUUAUAACCGGCGAUUUCCGAAUGGGGAAACCCAGUGUGAUUCGUCACACUAUCAUUAACUGAAUCCAUAGGUUAAUGAGGCGAACCGGGGGAACUGAAACAUCUAAGUACCCCGAGGAAAAGAAAUCAACCGAGAUUCCCCCAGUAGCGGCGAGCGAACGGGGAGCAGCCCAGAGCCUGAAUCAGUGUGUGUGUUAGUGGAAGCGUCUGGAAAGGCGCGCGAUACAGGGUGACAGCCCCGUACACAAAAAUGCACAUGCUGUGAGCUCGAUGAGUAGGGCGGGACACGUGGUAUCCUGUCUGAAUAUGGGGGGACCAUCCUCCAAGGCUAAAUACUCCUGACUGACCGAUAGUGAACCAGUACCGUGAGGGAAAGGCGAAAAGAACCCCGGCGAGGGGAGUGAAAAAGAACCUGAAACCGUGUACGUACAAGCAGUGGGAGCACAGAGCAAUCUGUGUGACUGCGUACCUUUUGUAUAAUGGGUCAGCGACUUAUAUUCUGUAGCAAGGUUAACCGAAUAGGGGAGCCGAAGGGAAACCGAGUCUUAACUGGGCGUUAAGUUGCAGGGUAUAGACCCGAAACCCGGUGAUCUAGCCAUGGGCAGGUUGAAGGUUGGGUAACACUAACUGGAGGACCGAACCGACUAAUGUUGAAAAAUUAGCGGAUGACUUGUGGCUGGGGGUGAAAGGCCAAUCAAACCGGGAGAUAGCUGGUUCUCCCCGAAAGCUAUUUAGGUAGCGCCUCGUGAAUUCAUCUCCGGGGGUAGAGCACUGUUUCGGCAAGGGGGUCAUCCCGACUUACCAACCCGAUGCAAACUGCGAAUACCGGAGAAUGUUAUCACGGGAGACACACGGCGGGUGCUAACGUCCGUCGUGAAGAGGGAAACAACCCAGACCGCCAGCUAAGGUCCCAAAGUCAUGGUUAAGUGGGAAACGAUGUGGGAAGGCCCAGACAGCCAGGAUGUUGGCUUAGAAGCAGCCAUCAUUUAAAGAAAGCGUAAUAGCUCACUGGUCGAGUCGGCCUGCGCGGAAGAUGUAACGGGGCUAAACCAUGCACCGAAGCUGCGGCAGCGACACUAUGUGUUGUUGGGUAGGGGAGCGUUCUGUAAGCCUGUGAAGGUGUACUGUGAGGUAUGCUGGAGGUAUCAGAAGUGCGAAUGCUGACAUAAGUAACGAUAAAGCGGGUGAAAAGCCCGCUCGCCGGAAGACCAAGGGUUCCUGUCCAACGUUAAUCGGGGCAGGGUGAGUCGACCCCUAAGGCGAGGCCGAAAGGCGUAGUCGAUGGGAAACAGGUUAAUAUUCCUGUACUUGGUGUUACUGCGAAGGGGGGACGGAGAAGGCUAUGUUGGCCGGGCGACGGUUGUCCCGGUUUAAGCGUGUAGGCUGGUUUUCCAGGCAAAUCCGGAAAAUCAAGGCUGAGGCGUGAUGACGAGGCACUACGGUGCUGAAGCAACAAAUGCCCUGCUUCCAGGAAAAGCCUCUAAGCAUCAGGUAACAUCAAAUCGUACCCCAAACCGACACAGGUGGUCAGGUAGAGAAUACCAAGGCGCUUGAGAGAACUCGGGUGAAGGAACUAGGCAAAAUGGUGCCGUAACUUCGGGAGAAGGCACGCUGAUAUGUAGGUGAAGUCCCUCGCGGAUGGAGCUGAAAUCAGUCGAAGAUACCAGCUGGCUGCAACUGUUUAUUAAAAACACAGCACUGUGCAAACACGAAAGUGGACGUAUACGGUGUGACGCCUGCCCGGUGCCGGAAGGUUAAUUGAUGGGGUUAGCGCAAGCGAAGCUCUUGAUCGAAGCCCCGGUAAACGGCGGCCGUAACUAUAACGGUCCUAAGGUAGCGAAAUUCCUUGUCGGGUAAGUUCCGACCUGCACGAAUGGCGUAAUGAUGGCCAGGCUGUCUCCACCCGAGACUCAGUGAAAUUGAACUCGCUGUGAAGAUGCAGUGUACCCGCGGCAAGACGGAAAGACCCCGUGAACCUUUACUAUAGCUUGACACUGAACAUUGAGCCUUGAUGUGUAGGAUAGGUGGGAGGCUUUGAAGUGUGGACGCCAGUCUGCAUGGAGCCGACCUUGAAAUACCACCCUUUAAUGUUUGAUGUUCUAACGUUGACCCGUGAUCCGGGUUGCGGACAGUGUCUGGUGGGUAGUUUGACUGGGGCGGUCUCCUCCUAAAGAGUAACGGAGGAGCACGAAGGUUGGCUAAUCCUGGUCGGACAUCAGGAGGUUAGUGCAAUGGCAUAAGCCAGCUUGACUGCGAGCGUGACGGCGCGAGCAGGUGCGAAAGCAGGUCAUAGUGAUCCGGUGGUUCUGAAUGGAAGGGCCAUCGCUCAACGGAUAAAAGGUACUCCGGGGAUAACAGGCUGAUACCGCCCAAGAGUUCAUAUCGACGGCGGUGUUUGGCACCUCGAUGUCGGCUCAUCACAUCCUGGGGCUGAAGUAGGUCCCAAGGGUAUGGCUGUUCGCCAUUUAAAGUGGUACGCGAGCUGGGUUUAGAACGUCGUGAGACAGUUCGGUCCCUAUCUGCCGUGGGCGCUGGAGAACUGAGGGGGGCUGCUCCUAGUACGAGAGGACCGGAGUGGACGCAUCACUGGUGUUCGGGUUGUCAUGCCAAUGGCACUGCCCGGUAGCUAAAUGCGGAAGAGAUAAGUGCUGAAAGCAUCUAAGCACGAAACUUGCCCCGAGAUGAGUUCUCCCUGACUCCUUGAGAGUCCUGAAGGAACGUUGAAGACGACGACGUUGAUAGGCCGGAUGUGUAAGCGCAGCGAUGCGUUGAGCUAACCGGUACUAAUGAACCGUGAGGCUUAACCUUACAACGCCGAAGGUGUUU
This 2932-nucleotide ribosomal RNA is filed under the name Escherichia coli. Its description in RNAcentral is "bacterial LSU rRNA". It matches the Rfam family "Bacterial large subunit ribosomal RNA". The record is from RNAcentral. Lineage: Bacteria; Pseudomonadati; Pseudomonadota; Gammaproteobacteria; Enterobacterales; Enterobacteriaceae.